AUUGAGUAAACAUGUGUUUUAGCCUAAACUUAAGUGAUUGGCACUAAAAUUGGCACAGGGCUUUAGGACCCUAUUGUGUCAAACAACUUUUAUCAUUCGGUGUAACCGCGUCCAAAUUUCUGGGUUUUCAAUUUGUAUUUGUAAAAUUGAUUCUCUAUGAACAUCCUCUGUCAAAACAAAUCAUGCUUUUUUCCUGUUCUGUUUCAGUUUAAUCGUCUUUUUAUUUGCAUAUCACUCUUUUGAAUAUCUUUCGGAACGGUCCCCAAUCGAAAAAAGGAAGCAUUCAGAUAUCUUUGUGCAAAACUAGACUCGCUUCGAAAUUUAGGAUAAAUCCAGCAAAAAACUUACCGUAACACGCAUCGCUGCAGUUAGGAAGAUAGAAAGAGCCGAAGCAGUAAGGAUAACACAUUGAAGCAAAAAUUUCUCGUCCAUCUUUUUCUACGAUGUAUCAAAAAAAAAAAGUUGUAAAGACGUUUGUAUUUUUUUACACAAAAAAAGGAUAAUGAUUAAAAAAUGAUAAAAAUGACGAUAUAUUUUGUUACUACCAGUAAUUUUGUAGUUACGAGUCGACAUGUGGAACCAACGCAAUAGUUACUAAAAAAAGCAGUUUGUUGAUUUUCGACUAGCGAAAUUUUUGAGUAAAAUUGUGUGGCGUAUGCGUGAGUAGAGAGCGAGAGCGAGAGAGAAAGUAUAAAAUGAUGGCUCAUGAAAACACACUCACACAUUUAAAUUGUUUUCAUCAGAAUGAAAAAAAUAAGAGCAUGCAAACAUACGAGAUGAGCAAUUAAUUAGUUUAUAAGCCACAGAACACAAUCGUUAUAGGAAACUGUUUAAGUUUUGAAAGAUUGUUAAUAAUUUCGGGUAUAACCAUUAUGUUUAGUACCUUAUAGGCUAUUUAGGUCACAGCAGGAUUUUGCCAUUGGCCAUGAGUCAUGAACAAAUUGCAAUCCAAGUCUUCCACAACGAGAGUCUCUUCCCCCUCGUUCAGAAGACUCCAAGUGCAAUUAUUUUGAGCUAAUUUGUGUGAUUGGAUCCUUUUCGAUUUGGACAAAAAAUGCCUGCGCUCCUUUUAGUGGUAAAAUGUGUCUUGAAAAUCGAAUUUUGAAAAUUUCCUUCUCGCUGGAAAUGGGUUAUGCUAAUGCAUAAGUGUUUGAAAUCCUGCUGCAUCUAAAUGAUAGUUGACAGAUAAAUUAAACAAAAAGUUACUUGACCUUAUGUUAUACUUCAUCAAAAAUCCUCAGUUAUCCGAUAGUAUGCAAAACAAAUCAACAUUACCGAAUCACUGUUGAGCACUGUUAAUAAUGAUCACUAGAGACUAAAAUAUCGUAAAAAAAUCACACAAUCGAAUUGUUAGUGUCUAUUAGUUUAGUUCACAAAAGCAUUGCAAGAAAAAUCGAAAAUUUGAAAAAUGAAAUGAAACUGUCUGGGAAAAACUUUCCCAGAAACUUCAUAAGUAAAAGCCGAACAAAGACAAAUUUAUCCGUCGACAUAUUACGUAAAACACCGAUCUAUUAGUUCGAUUUUUGCUACCAAAGAGAAAAGAACAUUGUAUACCAUGAGAAAUUAACAUUGUGUAAAACCUCCGCCCCUUUUUAGUAGACCAAUCUAAGCGAUUUAACAAUGAAAAAACAAAGUUUUCUACCAGUACGUUUAUCGGAGCUGGAUAGUGAAGCUGUUAAAUCGAGAGCAUGACAGCAUUCUUUUUCGUUCUAAAAAGUCAUUAUUCGACUCACAUCUAAUCUAUGAAAUAGCCAGUCAAUUUCUCAAUAUGCGCGCGCGAUCGGUUUUUUACGUUUCUGUUCUCUCGUAGCUAGAAGCUGUAUUAUCGAAAACGUUAACAAUCGCGUGGGUAAUCCACACAAAAAAACACACACACUUUCAAAUGAGCUCGAUAAACCAAAAGAUAAAAGAAAUGCGUAACCAUGCCGUCGAAAGCAACAGAAGGUUUAGGUGCAGAGAGAACUUAAGUCAACAUUUAGGAACAUUUUUGGAAGCCAAUAUUUAACAGAUGAGAAAUUUUUCUUCCGUUUAGCAGAAAUAGGAAGCUUACGAGCUAGGUCCAGGUAAACGUUUGUCCACAUUUUGCUACGCCAACUAUUGUAACCAAAUGGAACGAAUAGAGCUUUCCCACGAUAAUAGGAACAUGUCACACAAUGCCAUUCAUCAGCAGAUUGAAGACAAAAGUAAUUUAUCGACUUCUGCUUCAAGUAGGGUACUAUAGCCUUUUAGUUGAUAGGUCAUCAAACGUAUUUACAAAGCAUGUAGUUUCAAUCACGAACCAAUAAUCAUCUGGAAUUAGGGAGCUGGUUUCCAGAUCAGAUCAGCGUGAAAAACACCACAGAGAGUAGCAGCAAACGAUGGAUACCAAAAAUUCCAAAGCUUAGUUGUGAACAUUUCAGCCAAACAACAAUACCAGACAAACUUAGAAAACAGAAUGCAGCAAACCGUAUUUAACAAUAAUAGCUAAACCAUAGAAACUCGGAAGAAAUGUCAUAUUUUAAAACUAUAAUUUUGACCAAACGCAAACAAAACGAGCCCACUGUGUGACGGAAGACAUAUAGGUUUUAUCAUUGCUAGUAGAGAGCAAGACAAAAAAUCACUAACUAGUUUCCGGAAGGAACGCAUUUGAAAUUUUUUUUUGAGUGUGGCACCCAACUUUAUGAACUCUGAACGAGACAUGAGCUACACCUAGUGCGUAGCUUCGAAGCAGUGGACAAAAAAGUAGAUAAACUGUAAAAAGAAACACACAAAUGCGCACUGCCAUCUUUUAACGAUUUCCUUCUGAGGUAACUUAUCGCUUUUUAGUUCAACGAAGAAUUGGGGUAAAAUUGAUCUUAUUUCGUUUCAAUACUCCUUGGUUGGUUGGCUAACUGAUUGUAGGAAGUAUUAUUUUUUCGAUUAAGUUCAGUUGAUUCAAAUACUAGAUAAGAAAAAUACUAUUUUUGUAGACUCGGAGAUCAAAACUCUUUUGUAACAUUGCUUAGUAAUGAUCAAUUUUGAUAACAAAAAAGCAAAGAAAUUAGAAUAUGAAUAAGCGUUUUCAAUUCUUCUCUUUCUAGAAAAAAGGAAAAAAAUAUAUAACAAAAAACUAUUUUUUCAAAAGCGAAAAAUAACGGAACAAAACAAGCGAUAUUACCUAUUAAUUUACUAAUAAAGGAUAAAAGCAACAAUGAUCUACGAAUAAGCGAACGUUAAAGCUGUUAUGCGUAAAAGCAAAAGAAGCCGGAAAAUAACUAUUGGGAAAGAAUUCAAGAGCAGAGAAAGAAAAAUCGACAAUAUGUACAUAGAACCACAAGCAUAAAAGUAACUUAAAAUUAUUAUUUGAGCAGGUAGAAAAUGGAAAGUAUAUUAAUGUUAUCAAAGAAAAAUAUAAAAUCGCAAAAAAAAAAUGACAAAUUUAAAUUAAUUAUAAGAGAGAUACUAUCGAUAACUAAAACAUAAAAACGCGCGAAAUUUACUAGGAUUUUCUUGUAAAUAAUUAGAAAUAAACAAAAGGAAGUAUGGAAAAAGAACAUUUAAAAACUGCAGAAAAAUCAUAAUAUUAAAACAAAAUAGCAACUAGACACUAUAUUCAUUGAUAACAAAGGGCAAGACAAAAAAAAA
Aedes aegypti (yellow fever mosquito) is the source of this 3603-nucleotide long non-coding RNA. RefSeq lists it as uncharacterized. The transcript has 2 exons. NCBI's taxonomy places the organism in Eukaryota, Metazoa, Arthropoda, Insecta, Diptera, Culicidae. The record is from RefSeq and is a predicted model, not a curated record.